GAUGAACGCUGGCGGCGUGCCUAAUACAUGCAAGUCGAGCGAACAGACGAGGAGCUUGCUCCUUUGACGUUAGCGGCGGACGGGUGAGUAACACGUAGGUAACCUACCUAUAAGACUGGGAUAACUUCGGGAAACCGGAGCUAAUAUCGGAUAAUAUUUCGAACCGCAUGGUUCGAUAGUGAAAGAUGGCUUUGCUAUCACUUAUAGAUGGACCUGCGCCGUAUUAGCUAGUUGGUAAGGUAACGGCUUACCAAGGCAACGAUACGUAGCCGACCUGAGAGGGUGAUCGGCCACACUAGAACUGAGACACGGUCCAGACUCCUACGGGAAGCAGCAGUAGGGAAUCUUCCGCAAUGGGCGAAAGCCUGACGGAGCAACGCCGCGUGAGUGAUGAAGGUCUUCGGAUCGUAAAACUCUGUUAUUAGGGAAGAACAAACGUGUAAGUAACUGUGCACGUCUUGACGGUACCUAAUCAGAAAGCCACGGCUAACUACGUG
RNAcentral lists this ribosomal RNA (497 nucleotides) under uncultured bacterium. RNAcentral describes it as "partial 16S ribosomal RNA". It matches the Rfam family "Bacterial small subunit ribosomal RNA", at positions 28 to 507 of the family's 1533-position model. The record is from RNAcentral.